UACGGAGGGGACUAGCGUUGUUCGGAAUUACUGGGCGUAAAGCGCACGUAGGCGGAUUUGUAAGUCAGGGGUGAAAUCUCGGGGCUCAACCUCGGAACUGCCUUUGAUACUGCAAAUCUCGAGUCCGGAAGAGGUGAGUGGAAUUCCUAGUGUAGAGGUGAAAUUCGUAGAUAUUAGGAAGAACACCAGUGGCGAAGGCGGCUCACUGGUCCGGUACUGACGCUGAGGUGCGAAAGCGUGGGGAGCAAACAGG
This 253-nucleotide ribosomal RNA is filed under the name uncultured bacterium. RNAcentral's name for it is "partial 16S ribosomal RNA". It matches the Rfam family "Bacterial small subunit ribosomal RNA", at positions 524 to 776 of the family's 1533-position model. The record is from RNAcentral.